GCAGUUUUAAGAAACAAAUAAGUGUUGAGAAAGUAUUUACUAAAUAAAAUGAACUAAACAAUAAAUAAAUACAAAUUAAAAAAAAUAAGAAAACAGAAAAAUAACAAAUAAUUAAAAAGCAACAAUAAAAUAACAGUAACAAGGCUAUAUACAGGGGGUACCAGUACAGAGUCAAUGUGGAGGUUAUAUACAGGGGGUACCGGUACAGAGUCAAUGUGGAGGCUAUAUACAGGGGGUACCGGUACAGAGUCAAUAUGGAGGCUAUAUACAGGGGGUACCGGUACAGAGUCAAUGUGGAGGUUAUAUACAGGGGGUACCGGUACAGAGUCAAUGUGGAGGCUAUAUACAGGGGGUACCGGUACAGAGUCAAUGUGGAGGUUAUAUACAGG
RNAcentral lists this long non-coding RNA (389 nucleotides) under Salmo salar (Atlantic salmon). RNAcentral describes it as "lncRNA (ENSSSAG00000119821.1)". The record is from RNAcentral. Lineage: Eukaryota; Metazoa; Chordata; Actinopteri; Salmoniformes; Salmonidae.